GCCACCCUAGCUCAGCUGGUUAGAGCAAUUGUUUUGUAAACAAUAGGUCGUCGGUUCGAAUCCGACGGGUGGCU
This 74-nucleotide transfer RNA is filed under the name Candidatus Falkowiibacteriota bacterium. Its description in RNAcentral is "tRNA-Thr". It matches the Rfam family "tRNA". From Rfam's summary of the family: Transfer RNA (tRNA) molecules are approximately 80 nucleotides in length. Their secondary structure includes four short double-helical elements and three loops (D, anti-codon, and T loops). Further hydrogen bonds mediate the characteristic L-shaped molecular structure. tRNAs have two regions of fundamental functional importance: the anti-codon, which is responsible for specific mRNA codon recognition, and the 3' end, to which the tRNAs corresponding amino acid is attached (by aminoacyl-tRNA synthetases). tRNAs cope with the degeneracy of the genetic code in two manners: having more than one tRNA (with a specific anti-codon) for a particular amino acid; and 'wobble' base-pairing, i.e. permitting non-standard base-pairing at the 3rd anti-codon position. The record is from RNAcentral. Lineage: Bacteria; Candidatus Falkowiibacteriota.